UCAAGAGCGCUGACGCUCGCGACGUCAGGCUGCGGUGGGGCCGAGCGAGCGUUGGCGCGACGGGCCAAGACUCCGUGCAGGGCUGCGCAUGCGCCGCCGGGAUAGGUGGCUGUUGGUCCAAGAAGGCUGGGGCUGCUGCUGGAAGAAAUAGGAGGACAGCCAAGGAAUCUUUGCUUAUCGAAAGUGGAGCGGUUGCUUUUUUAUUUUCCUGCUGUCUUGGGAGAAGUAGCUUCCUGUCUUGAUUUCUGUGUUUUGGAGGCCUUUUAACUCUUUCCAGAAUGCAAAGAUGCACUUGAUACUUUCCUGGGGGCCUGGGGUUGUUUAUGAAUAGUAACGAAAGCCUGGGCUUGCUUAAUUUUGGACUGUGUUUUCCUAUGUUGGGGAGAGAGGUGGGCCGUGGAUCUUGGCUUUACAGUCAUCAGUGACCAAAAGAAAUGGAGGAGAAGGAACGAUGUGAUCAAUUCAGUCUGACACUCCUAUGCUAAGUUCUCUCAAACAAUUUUUCAAGGGAAAAAUCAGAAGAAAAGAGAACAGUAUACUAAAAGCAAUUUCUGCAAAAUAAGGCAGCAGAUAGGACAAUGGAAGAAGAAUGGUUCAAAUUUUGAAGUUGCUUUUGCAGCUAUCAAAUAAAGACAACAAUUGAAAUUCAACUGCAGGUCUACUAUUUGUGCUGAAGUUGUCUAUAAAGAAAAGGGCAGUUUGCUCUUUGUUUCUUUUGAAAAAGAACCUUCAGAAACAUUAUCUCCAAUCUUCACAUCAACACCACUUUUAAAAAAUGAGUUGCGUGCCAUGGAAAGGUGACAAAACAAAAUCGGAAUCGCCAGAAACGCCACAGGUGAUGCCAGUGCAUAUUUAUCAUGAAAAACAACGCAGAGAGUUAUGUGCCCUCCAUGCUCUCAAUAAUGUCUUCCAGGACAGCAAUGCCUUUACACGAGACACAUUACAGGACAUUUUCCAGAGACUAUCUCCCAACACAAUGGUGACACCACACAAGAAAAGUAUGCUGGGGAACGGGAACUAUGAUGUUAAUGUCAUCAUGGCAGCUCUUCAGACCAAAGGUUAUGAAGCAGUUUGGUGGGAUAAGCGCAGGGAUGUUAACGUAAUUGUCCUUUCCAAUGUCAUGGGUUUCAUAAUGAAUCUGCCCUCAAGUCUCUGCUGGGGUCCACUGAAACUCCCUCUUAAACGGCAACAUUGGAUCUGUGUCCGGGAAGUGGGAGGAACCUACUAUAAUCUUGACUCCAAAUUAAAGGUUCCUGAAUGGAUUGGUGGUGAAAGUGAGCUCAGCUCCAGUAAAUCCAGCAAAGAUGCUAUCUAUGCCUCAUUUCAUUGAUUACUACACUUUCUCUAAGUCUCUAUAGCUGGAGAGCAUAAUAAAAGAAUAACAGGAAGUUUUUAAGAAACCAGCUGCAAGGAAAGAACUGUGAACUUCUGCUGGUAGUACCUGAGGAGGUAGAAGUACAUCAAAGUUGGAAAGUUGAUGCAUGACCUGCAAAAUAUCUUAUCUUUGCACUACAGUACUGGUCCUUCUCCCUUCCAACUUCUACUGUCCUGUGAUGUGGAUAAUGAGCACUAUACUCUCCCCAGGAACUUUCCAUUAUGAAGGUGCAAUAAGGCAGUCACAAGGUACUGUCAGGGCCAAACCAGAUUAUUGAAGCCGGACUUAGGGGAAGAGAUAGAAGCCAGUUUUGCAUUCUUUCAUUAUAAUGCAUAAUGAAUUAGAAAUGGGGUAUUGGAAUCUUCUCCAUUGAAUUCUGAUUCACUUUCUUACCCACCAUCCUAAAAUACUUUAUAUUGAAUUGUACACUACUGUCUCUAGGAGUCUCUAUAGUUGGAUGGUUUGUCUCUCCUUCAGGAGAGGUUUGAGGCCAGGCAUGUUCCCUUCAUAUCUAUGACUCCCUUCUCUACCAAACUUACGUUGAAGAAACUUGCAAACGGUAUGGGUCUCUCAGGAAAUUUUAGAUACUCUUAGCAAUGGUAUGGUGCUUGUGGAUUCCCUAUUUAAAUAGCAAUUGUGCCAACAGUUAGGGGACAUAUUGACAAAACGGGACCAUAAUUCUGGAACUCUUAUUGGAGUUUGGGGCUUUUCUUUGUCAUACUUGACAUUUUUUGAUUUGAGAAUGAAAGAGUGAAUAAUUUGGGGAGAUAAUUGAUGCUUAUUUUUCAAAAACCUCAAAUAUUUUUGGUUAGGUGGGUCAGGUAUAGCCUCUCUUUAUUUAUCUUGUCCUGUAAUUCAGGGAAAUAAUUCACUGAGCAGGGAAUAUAUCAACAAAUUUCUUAAGGAUGAAAUCAUGACAUAAAAGGAAAUUAUAGCCAAGUUUUUGUAAGGUAGAACAUCGUUGAAAGGGGAAGUGUUAAUUUUGCAACCUAUUGUGGGGAGCAAAUCCAAGGAUUAGAAUUUUGUUCCUAUUUCAGCUGAUAAUAGCUGCUAGGGAAGUUUGAUGCGGGUAGAUGAAGACUAUUUAAAACAGGUUAAGCUGAGUUACAUUCUUCCAUUCCAUCUAGCAGGAAAUCAUAAUCUCUCUUCUCUUUCCCACUAAAUUAAUAAAAGAGCUGAAGAUUGGCAGGAACCUUAUUAGUUUUCCCUUUCGCUUCAUCUAAGUGUGCCUCAUUUAUUCUUGUCAGUUUAUCCUGUUGCGUUUUUCAUUAAGUGUCAUUUACAUUAGUACUGAUAUAUCAGGAAUAGGACCUAUGUUUCCAACAUCAUCCUAGUAAAGGAAGGGCAAAAGUAACUCUUGUAACUGUAAAGGAGGCCUUUUGCUUUCUAUUUUGAGUAAAAGCAAGAUAGACACCUUUCAGUUUUGUACUUGAACUCUCCUUUCAAUCAAAUACUUUGAGGAUGACAAUGAGAUCAAGAUGAAUCUUGUUUAUUGAUGCCUGGAUAAUUUGCAGCCAUAUACUGGGAAAACUGAAUUGACUCUUCUCUGCAUGUACUACAGUCCAAACAGGAUACUUCUAGUUUAAUAGAAGCUCUCUCUUCUUCUGGACUAUACAUUCCAGUGGUAAAACCAGCUGACAUUUUUACACAUGACAUUUUUCAUAAGUAGAACAUUAGGCCUGAAGUUCUGCUUCUGACUUGAAGCCAUUUUUUUCAUGAAUUUUAAAAAUAUCAGCAGUAAAGACACUAUUCUUUAUGCUGACUAAAACAGCACUUUGGAGAGACCCUGUUUGCAUGGAAGCCAAUGGACCAGUGCAUAAUAUACAAAUAUCUUAAAAAGUAAAGCUGUUCCUUUCCUCUCGGUAUAUUGAUGUCAUUGUUCUGGCCAUAGGGAAAGUGGUGUGAUUCAGCAGCUCAGGAAAAGGGAACAUGUAAUCAUACACACUUCAGAACCAGAAUUAUGGCACGAGAGGAGAAUAAUCAGCCCAGUCCAGUUGCUUGGGAAUAGAAAAACCCAUGAUUGUUUUCUUGCUUGUUUGGUUUUGUUAUAGCUUUGUCUUGGGUUUGUUUACAGAGAUGUAUUUUGUUUAACCAAAUAUUAAAAAUGAGAAAAUCUUUCCCAAUGUU
Molecule: RNA transcript, 3502 nt
Organism: Ahaetulla prasina
Lineage: Eukaryota; Metazoa; Chordata; Lepidosauria; Squamata; Colubridae
Gene: JOSD1
Gene name: Josephin domain containing 1
Exons: 6
Source: RefSeq, a predicted model, not a curated record